UAUUCUUCCCAGAAUCACAUUUUUUAUUAGGGUGUGAUGAAUAAUUGCAGGAACAUUGGCAGCUGAAAUUUCUAAAGUGAUUGUCAAAUAGGAAAUAAAAUGGAAAAUGGGAAAUAAAAUGUGCUAUUUAUUGCAGGUCAAGAUAGAUUGCCUUUAAAUUCUACCUAGAUAAAAGUUCUUAGUGAUUUAAUUUUCUGUUUAGUAUCAUCCAGAUGUUCAAACUGACCCAGGUGGUGUGGAAAUUUUAUUUUUCCAGCUUAUGAUAGUGAAUUGAAUAAUAAAAAACAAUCAUAAAACAUCUCCAUAUUGCAUCCAUGGAGAUUCACUAGGAUGAUUUACACUAAAUGGAUUUUUACGUGGCAUGGGUUUCUUUUCCAAAGUUCAACAAGAGUCAAGACUACAUCCGUACGUGUUUAGGAGCCAAAAAUUAUUAUGCCAUACACAGUCAGGUGGCGUUUGUCCAGAAGCUGACAUGUCCUUUCAUUGCUAAAAACCUUGGUUUGGAAUGGAAUGGAGUCAAGCACAGGAAGGAAAUGAUUAUGGAAACUGUAAGAAUUUGAGACCUCAGCUAUCUUCAGACACAGCAAAACAUUUCCUCCUGUUAUCAGCAGCCAUAAAAACAUAGACAUGUUGCAACCCAAGGACCCAAGUGAAGGCAAAGCUCCAUCUGAGAAUGCCUUGUGUUCCAGAAGGUUCAGGUUCACAGCAUGAACUUAGAGACUGGCUGUUGAGAAGACACUGGCUGGUAAGUCUUUGCUAAGUGAAGAUACACUUCAUAAGCAUUUGUUUUGGGUCAUUUUCAGAGUAGUGAUAAAUCUGCGCAAUUUUAUUUUCACCUCAACAGGACAUUGGACAUUGCUAAGCUGUUUAAUGUAUGUAAUGUUAUACACUGUGAUAAAAACAAUCCAUUAGUGAGCUGAGUGACAAAAAGAAUGUGACUAAAAAAGAUCCUUAGGGAUAGGCCAAGAUCGCUUGCAUUUAUUUUAAUGAUAUCGAAAUGGUGUUCUGAUUCAAGAUAUUAAUAAUUACAAUGAGCAAUAAAACUCUAGAAAGAGUUAAAUUUACUGGCA
RNAcentral lists this long non-coding RNA (1070 nucleotides) under Junco hyemalis (dark-eyed junco). Its description in RNAcentral is "lncRNA (ENSJHYG00000005637.1)". Lineage: Eukaryota; Metazoa; Chordata; Aves; Passeriformes; Passerellidae. The record is from RNAcentral.